UUUUUAACAACUUAGUUAACAUAGUUACUUGAUUGUGCUAUAAAAUGCCACUAUAUGCCUUGAAAAUAUAUAAUACUGCCUCUUUAAGGAUUAUGUCAUGUAGCCUUGUUUAGAGAGUACGUUUGCAGAGCUGUCUGUAUUUUGAUCUCAGCAGACGAAGCUCCAGUUUGUUGCUGAGGAAGCAGAAGUGAUGGUCUAUCAUAGCCUUUAGCUUGGCUCCUGUUUGAACCCUCCUUUUGCAUUGGUUUUACUUUUGUGUUUUUUAAUUGUUUUCUUAGACUAUGUUCACACAACAGGCAAAAGUACCUGGAAUUUUUUUUGUCCACAUUUGAGAAUGUCAGACUUUCUCAUGAACCCAUGAAAUUAUAAACUCAGAUAUGCACUUUCCAGUGUGUGUCUGGUGUUCAUUUGGGUUGUUUAAUCAUGGUUUAUGUUGGGAAAUGAGCAGGAGUGACAAGGAUAGACAGAAAGUUAAAGUAAAAUGCAGAAAACUAGAUGGCAGAGAGGGAGAUCACUGUCAGAUGAAUUUCUGUUGGCUGAGGAUGGUCAAGAGAACUCAGGUGGGGCUUUAACUUGACCACAGUUCAAUGCAACCCAAUCAGCCAGAUCAAGAUUUCACUGUUUCUACCCAAAUGUACUUUUUCAACCUGUGCAGUACCAGAAGUAUAAUAUAUAAUAAAGAGGCAUCAGGAUUACACAGGUUUAAUAUAAUUGGAAUUACUCCACCACCAAUUAAAUGGAAACAGUGUCUGACGCAGAUCUAUUGAUACACUUGAAGAUAUACUGUAGCUAUGCUACUGCAUCUAAUUCAGAUUCAGAACUUUAUUUUCCAUGUGCACUUUCACACAAGGUUCAGUUGAAUAGGAAUUCUUGUGUAGAAUUUGCCUGUCAGACAAAUAUAUAUUUAACGCAAAAAUAAUUUAAGACAUCUACGCUAAGCUGCUAAAGACUUGAAAAUAUAUAAUACACUGUGUAUGCUAAAAAUAAAUAAAUAAUUCAUUUCACUUGAGUUUGAAGAACAACAAUUACUGUACUAGAAAAUGUAAACAUCCAUUGAAGGCAAAAAUGUGAGUAUUCAUGUUAUUUACAUUAUAUAGACUUCAAGGCUAAUACUAAAUUAAUGUUAAGCUAAUGGUUACUGAACCAUUGUCUUGUUCAUUGGUUAGUUAUUAGUAAACACAAUCCUGAUGAUAAACGUCUAAUGACUUUUGGUAAGGACUGCUAAAUAGAAAAUCAUCAGGUAGCUGAAAGAGGAAGUCCUAGUCAUAUUAACUUGCUGUUGAACCAUUACCUACUGAUGAAAUCCUGACUACAAUUUGGAUAAAAACUAGUUAAGAGUGGUGACUCUUUUUUAUAAGAGAACAAAAAGUGUAAAAGUAUACUGUAUUUCUAAAUCAGUUAUAAUUGGUUGCCUACUUUCUAAUUGCCCACAAUACUUUAAGUUUUAAAAUAUUUGAAAGUUGAAAAAUACUGUAGCAAAAUAUUUAGCUACUAAAAUGUUUAAAUAAGAUUUUAGAGUUUUUGAGCCUGAAGUACUGCAAGUAUUUUGUACACAGUAUUAAUAAAUCACUUACCAUUUGGUAGAUUAAUGUUGUUUUCCAUUAUAUGCUUCUUCCUACAAGUUCUUUGCUUCCUGGUGUAUGUCCUACAGUUGAUACAACCUAAACACGGACAGUGUUGUUUGUAUGUAGUCAGAUCACAUGACCACAGAAAAGAAGCAUUUUCUAUGAUUUUAAAUAAUUCUUGGACAGGAAAGAGUGCAGCAGGUCAUCUGUGAGGUAACCUUCACAAGGCUUACUUCUUUGCUUACAAGCUUGCUUCAGUUGAACAUGCCUCGUUUCCACUGGGCAAGCAGUACAGGAUGGGUUGCUGCAGUUUGGUAAGCCAUUUUGUCGGUUUGCAAUGUUAGCACAGCUGAAAAAACAACCUGUGCCGCUCCAUUCCCGGGUUCCUUCAUGGAACCCGGGAAUGGAAAAGUCCAGGGUGGACUUUCUGGCAUCACGCAACACACUACAUUGAUUAUGGAACAGAAAAAUGUUGCUGCUUGCGUCAUGUGUCACGUUUGUUGCCACAUUAGUUCAGGUUUAACCCCGCCUACCCAGUGAGAGUCCAACUGAUGGUGGAAACAUUUUUCUGAAUUCAGCAAGACUGUGAAUAGAGGUUGGGAAAUUAGGCUCAGUGGAAAUGAAGAUGUCUAUGAAAGACACUUGUCACAGGCUGAAUUAGCAGCAAGAUACAGUGGUGAGAAAAAGAGUUUGCCCCUUUGUGAUUUCUUUCCUUUUUUGCAUGUUCAUCACACAUAAAUGCAUUAGGUCGUUAAAUUUUAAUAUCAUUUAAAGAUAAUAUGUAAAACAAAAUGCUGUGUUUAAGUGAAGUUGUUUAUUGUGAAGAGUGGGGAGGAAUCCAAACCUACAUGCAUUCACUGAGAGAAUCUGACUUUUUGCAUAGUUGUUGUGAUUCAGCGACAUCAGAGGUUUUUGAGCAUAUACUGCCUUUAAGGUCAUGCCAAAACAUCUCAGUCAGAUUCAGGCCUUUCUGUCUUUCUGCGACUGUUUUUCUUGGAAAGAGAAGACAGCCAAAAAAAAUGCAUGAAAACUGCAAAUGGUGGUUGAUACAUAUGCAUCUCUUACCAAGGUUCCUAGCUCUUUGAUACCAAUCUAAUGGACAGUGUGUGAACUACAUGUGGUUUUUGGAAACGGCAGGGCACGAUGGGCCAACUGCAUGAAAUUUUGCUGAUAAACUUAGAAAAUAAUCUGUCAUGCAGUAAAAUAUAUUUUUCCUGAUUAAUAUGUCCUACUACGGAUAUAUCAGACUAGACAACAUGUGACCAAUUUACAAUUUUGGGUUAGAAGCUUUUUAGUUACACUAAGAAAUCAAAAUGAGUAAUAACAGUAUUUCUGUAAUUCAAAAUUUGGGUCUAUUUGCAAAAAAAGUAAAUUAUGUGCAUGUGUUUUGAUAAAUGCAACUAUGAAUCAAAAGAUUACCUUAGUCUGCAUGUGACAAUAUAUCAGUAUUGAUGAACAAAAAGAUUACAUACCCUUAUAGAAUAUAUAUUUUUAUAUAUACAGGAGGAUAACAGAUUCUAGAACAAUAUAGUAAAUAAAUUUGUAUGCUGUAUUAAACUGUAUUCGACAUUUCAAAGUCUUGCUUGAGGAAUAACAGCAUCAAUAAAAUAGUUCCUUAAGUUCCUAGCAGGCAUCAUUAGCAUUAAAACUGUAAUAUGUAACUUUUAGAAAAAACAACAACAUUUUUUCACACAUUUGUUGAAACUAUCAUUUGUCGUGAGAGCAUGUUAUCAGACACAUAAUCUGUGAAAAAAUUGAGCUGCUCUGCCUUCUGUCAGUGCUCCCAGAAGGGUCUUCACGCUGUCAAUCAUGUACAUUUAUGCGUGAUGCAUAAGUGUACCCACUUGCUCUCUGCUAUGAGACAGGUUCUACCUGUCAGCAGAGCCUGCUGCUACAUGCUAAGGCUAGUUAACAUGGCCACCAAUGACAGUGGAUAGACAGUUUUCUUGUAGCAAUGACUUUUAUUUGUCCGUUGUCCAUUAGCAUAUUUAUCAGCGCAUUAAUGAGUCUAAUUGACAGCUCUCCUCCUGGCUUUGAUUGGAUGUUUUUAACUUGGAGUGAUGCAUUUCUUCAGAUGGUAAUAGCAGCACUGGGAGGAGCUGGAGCUUUUCCCAGAUUUUUUGUCUCAUAUUAUGCUGUCACAACAUGGUAAUAGUUUUAGCAAAUAUGUAAAAAAAAAAAAACAUAUAUUUUUUUAAAUAAAAGUUACAUACUGCAGCUUUAAGAGGUUAAGGUCACACACAAUAGGAUCUGUUAGUGGAUCACAAAUAUCAAGCAUUAACAGAAGACACUCUUAAUGUACACAGGUUACAUCUCUGUGCAAUAAAAUGAAAGAGUUUCCAUUGAUAUCAUGUUGAGUUUAACCCACAAGUGAAUAUAAUUUGGACAGUGUUCAUUUUUGUUUUACUCAUAAUGAGGGUUUGGAAGUUUGUGUAUCAUUAAUUAGUUAGUAUUAUGCCCAGGGCUGUUGUACAUUUAUGUUCAUAAUGUUGUUUACUUAUGCAGUUUUGCAGUUGUGUCCGUUAUCAUUUCACUUUACCUGACUGGAUUUGGAGCUUCCUCAGACAAUUCAAACAUAUUUGUUUUUGACUGCAUCUGAGCUUGGGUCUGGUCAGUUCUCCUCACACACUUGCAGAGUCCAGUCAGACUAUGCUUCUCCAACUUCAAACUUGAUCUAACGUGCUUCAGAUAGUCCAUUACAAUAACUCGCUAAUAAGAGAAGCUUCACAGAAAUUCGCCUCAAUAAAUCCAAAAAAUGUUGAUACAUUGAUAGACAAAAAGUCAGUGGAGUUACUUUGUGAUCAUAAAUGUCAGGUUUGUGUAAAACUAUAUAUAUGAAACUAGAAUAGAACUAAAACAGACCAUACCUGUCUAACCUUUCUCAUGAGGUCAGUCAGUUGUAUAGUUUUUCAGGUUAUUAAAAGUAUAUCUCACAGGGUGCAGCACCAGGUAUGUGUAGUUGUGCCGUGUUUUGCUGUGUAAUUACUAUGUACUGCACAUAUUACUACAAAUAUAAGUUUUGUGUUGCCAGCUCCUAAGAUUUUGGUUGACCCUCAUUAUUUAUUGUUUUAUUUUUAUUCUUUCAUUAGUUGAUAUAACAAACAUAUAUUUAUAUUUGUCACACAUGUACUAUAUAUCUGCAUUGCAAAGGAAAAUUCCUACACAGAGAUUCAGAAAAUCACCUUGUUACUGUGUAUGUAAGAAAGGUAUGAAAUUGAUGUUCUCUUCGCUACUGUUUUGUCAUAGCCUAAUUUAUGUAAAAGACAUAUGUAUCAUAGACAAACUGUGUAAAACCCUCUCUACUGUCUGCUGUAAACGGUUCCUGUUGUCCACAAACUGUCUCUAUUAAAAUGAAAGAAAUA
Molecule: long non-coding RNA, 4927 nt
Organism: Xiphophorus hellerii (green swordtail)
Lineage: Eukaryota; Metazoa; Chordata; Actinopteri; Cyprinodontiformes; Poeciliidae
Exons: 2
Source: RefSeq, a predicted model, not a curated record